CUGAAACAUUGGUUUCCAUACAAUCACUGAAGUUAAGCAACUUCAAGCCUGGUUAGUACCUAGAUUGGUGACCACUUGAGAAUACCAGGUGCUGUA
This is a non-coding RNA of Acanthosepion pharaonis, 96 nucleotides long. Lineage: Eukaryota; Metazoa; Mollusca; Cephalopoda; Sepiida; Sepiidae. The record is from the annotation of a GenBank genome assembly.